UCUUGAAAAAGAAGGUGCUUGUGAUAGGUACUACAAAUAGAUUAGACAUUCUUGAUCCCGCUUUGUUGAGGAAGGGUCAUUUUGACAAGAUCAUUCGAGUUGGUUUGCCAUCAAAGGAUGGAAG
Arachis ipaensis is the source of this 124-nucleotide non-coding RNA. The record is from RefSeq and is a predicted model, not a curated record. NCBI's taxonomy places the organism in Eukaryota, Viridiplantae, Streptophyta, Magnoliopsida, Fabales, Fabaceae.